This 803-nucleotide ribosomal RNA is filed under the name uncultured Pelagibacteraceae bacterium. RNAcentral describes it as "bacterial SSU rRNA". It matches the Rfam family "Bacterial small subunit ribosomal RNA", at positions 34 to 885 of the family's 1533-position model. The record is from RNAcentral. Lineage: Bacteria; Pseudomonadati; Pseudomonadota; Alphaproteobacteria; Candidatus Pelagibacterales; Candidatus Pelagibacteraceae.
CGCUGGCGGCACGCCUUAUACAUGCAAGUCGAACGAAGUAGCAAUACUUAGUGGCAGACGGGUGAGUAACAUGUAGGUAUCUUCCCUUUGGUGAGGAAUAACACGAGGAAACUUGUGCUAAUACCUCAUAAGUCUUUACGGAGAAAGCUUUAUGCGCCAUUGGAUGAGCCUGCACUUGAUUAGUUUGUUGGUGGGGUAAUGGCCUACCAAGACUGUGAUCAAUAGCUGAUCUGAGAGGAUGAUCAGCCACAUUGGGACUGAGACACGGCCCAAACUCCUACGGGAGGCAGCAGUAGGGAAUAUUGCACAAUGGAGGAAACUCUGAUGCAGCGAUGCCGCGUGAGUGAAGAAGGCCUUUGGGUUGUAAAGCUCUUUCGUCGGGGAAGAAAAUGACUGUACCCGAAUAAGAAGGUCCGGCUAACUUCGUGCCAGCAGCCGCGGUAAUACGAAGGGACCUAGCGUAGUUCGGAAUUACUGGGCUUAAAGAGUUCGUAGGUUGUUAAAAAAGUUGGUGGUGAAAUCCCAGAGCUCAACUCUGGAACUGCCAUCAAAACUUUUUAGCUAGAGUAUGAUAGAGGAAAGCAGAAUUUCUAGUGUAGAGGUGAAAUUCGUAGAUAUUAGAAAGAAUACCAAUUGCGAAGGCAGCUUUCUGGAUCAUUACUGACGCUGAGGAACGAAAGCAUGGGUAGCGAAGAGGAUUAGAUACCCUCGUAGUCCAUGCCGUAAACGAUGUGUGUUAGACGUUGGAAAUUUAUUUUCAGUGUCGCAGCGAAAGCAGUAAACACACCGCCUGGGGAGUACGA